CUAAGCCAUGCGAGUCAUUGUAGCAAUACAAGGCAGACGGCUCAGUAACGCGUAGUCAACCUAACCUAUGGACGGGAAUAACCUCGGGAAACUGAGAAUAAUGCCCGAUAGAACACUAUACCUGGAAUGGUUUGUGUUCCAAAUGAUUUAUCGCCGUAGGAUGGGACUGCGGCCUAUCAGUUUGUUGGUGAGGUAAUGGCCCACCAAGACUAUUACAGGUACGGGCUCUGAGAGGAGUAGCCCGGAGAUGGGUACUGAGACACGGACCCAGGCCCUAUGGGGCGCAGCAGGCGAGAAAACUUUGCAAUGUGCGAAAGCACGACAAGGUUAAUCCGAGUGAUUUGUGCUAAACGAAUCUUUUGUUAGUCCUAGAACCACUAACGAAUAAGGGGUGGGCAAGUUCUGGUGUCAGCCGCCGCGGUAAAACCAGCACCUCAAGUGGUCAGGAUGAUUAUUGGGCCUAAAGCAUCCGUAGCCGGCUCUGUAAGUUUUCGGUUAAAUCUGUACGCUUAACGUACAGGCUGCCGGGAAUACUGCAGAGCUAGGGAGUGGGAGAGGUAGACGGUACUCGGUAGGAAGGGGUAAAAUCCUUUGAUCUAUUGAUGACCACCUGUGGCGAAGGCGGUCUACCAGAACACGUCCGACGGUGAGGGAUGAAAGCUGGGGGAGCAAACCGGAUUAGAUACCCGGGUAGUCCCAGCUGUAAACUAUGCAAACUCAGUGAUGCAUUGACUUGUGGUCAAUGCAGUGCUGCAGGGAAGCCGUUAAGUUUGCCGCCUGGGAAGUACGUACGCAAGUAUGAAACUUAAAGGAAUUGGCGGGGGAGCACCACAAGGGGUGAAGCCUGCGGUUCAAUUGGAUUCAACGCCGGAAAUCACU
Molecule: ribosomal RNA, 879 nt
Filed under: uncultured crenarchaeote
Lineage: Archaea; Thermoproteati; Thermoproteota
Description: bacterial SSU rRNA
Rfam family: Archaeal small subunit ribosomal RNA
Source: RNAcentral